UGGUUACUUUGGCAGCCUAUACUCUAAAAUUGGAAUGAUAGAAGUUUAGCAUGGCUCUGCUCAAGAAUUAUAUGCAAAUUUGUGAAACAUUUCAUAUUUUU
Small nuclear RNA from Tupaia belangeri (northern tree shrew), 101 nucleotides. NCBI's taxonomy places the organism in Eukaryota, Metazoa, Chordata, Mammalia, Scandentia, Tupaiidae. The record is from Ensembl.